AUCAUGUGGCACUGCCCCACAGGGACGUCAGUGUCCACUCUGGCCCUGGGGCCUCAUUAGCACAGCGAGACUAGACCCAGACACAUCUCAGGGGCCUCGGCUUCCACUGCCUGCAAUGCCAGGAUACGCUGAUCUGUGAAUCCUUGGAAUCUCCUUCGGGAAAUGACCCACUCAAAGGGAGGAUUUGUCAUCCUGGUGCAUUGUAUACAUCUCAUCCAACUUCCAGACAAGCCGUAAUUCUCAUGGGCCACGUGAUAGAUCGCCCUCCCCGCGGCUGAUAAGGAGGCUCUCUGAGGUCAGACGGGCCCUUGGGCUCCCGGGCAGGAGCACCCGGCCUCCCAGCUCCAGAAGCUGCGCCUCCUCCAGCUCGCCUGCCCCCACGCUGCCCAGUGACUCUCAGGAGGAGAGGAGCUGAUGUUCCUGCACCCAUGAUGAGGAAAUCAAGACUCGGAAUGUCCUGGUCCCUUUCCACAAGGCCUCGCCUUAUCCGCUCCCACAAAGGGCUUACCUCUUCAGGAGGAUCUGGCCCCAUGGUCAGAGAAGUGAGUGAAUAUCAGCUGUGGGGCACCCAGAGCAGUUGCCAUCUUCUGCUCUGUCUAGCCUGGGAGUCCUGGAAGGAGACUGCAGCCUGAGUGCCUCCCGAGCCAGCUCCUCUCCAGGACAUCACCUUGGCCCCUGGGUGUCCCAACAGACAGUCAGCACACAAAGGCAGGUGACAUGCGGACGUCCCUUUACCUGGCCCCUGUGUGGGAGGGGAGGUGAGGGGCAUUUAUUUGACAUUUACCCGGGGUCUGCCUUGGCCCGCCGCACAGCUGCCCUGUUCAGAGGCGGGGCCCCAGUACACUCCAGGGUGAAUGGCUGCUGAGUCUCGCCCUCUGCUCUGUACUGGACCAUUGAGCCCAGAUGGCACUGGCCAUGACAACCUUGGCCCAGGCACUUAGAGACACGACUCUUCCAGCCACAGGGAUGGCAACAAAGAGGCAAGACCUCCCUGGAGCUCACGGAGAGGCCUGGUCUUUCCACCUCACAGCUCUGUCCUCCUGCAGAGGCCCCUCUUCCCACUCCUGUCCCCUCCUCAUGCUGCUUCUCACACUGGAACAAUCUUGUCCAUUAGUUGUCAUAGCAACUGAGGCAGGGCGAAGUCAUCCUCUAGAAGGGGCCCUGUGCAAAUUAUGGCAUUACACCAACUUAUUGCCAAUCUUUUUAAUUAAAACAUUUUGCUUUCAACUCGGCUAAUGGCAGAGAUCAGUAAACAGGGGGAGAUUGAAUUACCGAUAUUGAAGCUCCCCCAGCUCUUAAAAGGCUUAAUUACUGGUGGGACCACAGAGAGGCAAGGAGGGGCUGCCAGCGAGCAGGUGGGCCUGACCCACCAGGGCCGCGUGAAGGUGAUCAAAUGGAGCUCCGGCAUUAAAAAAUUUUAAACUCUUGAAGGACAGAAUGAGCUACUAGAAUUGUGGCUACAGUUCUGUUUCCAGGAACUAUGACGUCAUGUUGCUGGCUGCUGAAUUUCUGUUUAAUUAAAUUGCCUAUUUGACACCUGGAGGCAGAACUGGGUGUUCAUGGUGUGGCUGACUGAUAAGCCAGGACUCCACUUGCCCCAGAGACCCAGCCUCUUACCCAGGAGGGGAGAAGUAGGGGGAAUGCUGCCC
RNAcentral lists this long non-coding RNA (1649 nucleotides) under Homo sapiens (human). RNAcentral describes it as "HSALNT0161788". The record is from RNAcentral. Lineage: Eukaryota; Metazoa; Chordata; Mammalia; Primates; Hominidae.